GAUGAACGCUAGCGGCAGGCCUAACACAUGCAAGUCGAGGGGCAGCACAGAAACAGCAAUGUUUUGGUGGCGACCGGCGGACGGGUGCGUAACGCGUAUGCAACCUACCUUUAACAGGGGGAUAACGGAGAGAAAUUUCCACUAAUACCCCAUAACAUCGAUCAAGGCAUCUUGCCUGGUUGAAAACUCCGGUGGUUAAAGAUGGGCAUGCGUUGUAUUAGGUAGUUGGUGAGGUAAUGGCUCACCAAGCCUACGAUACAUAGGGGGACUGAGAGGUUAGCCCCCCACACUGGUACUGAGACACGGACCAGACUCCUACGGGAGGCAGCAGUGAGGAAUAUUGGUCAAUGGGGGCAACCCUGAACCAGCCAUGCCGCGUGCAGGAAGACGGCUCUAUGAGUUGUAAACUGCUUUUAAACAGGGAUAAAGCACAGUAUGUAUACUGUGUUGAAGGUACUGUAAGAAUAAGGAUCGGCUAACUCCGUGCCAGCCGCCGCAGUAA
This 502-nucleotide ribosomal RNA is filed under the name uncultured bacterium. RNAcentral's name for it is "partial 16S ribosomal RNA". It matches the Rfam family "Bacterial small subunit ribosomal RNA", at positions 28 to 523 of the family's 1533-position model. The record is from RNAcentral.